CUGUCUCAGCCAGCUGCCCUCCUCCUCCAAGCUGGCUCCACUUCUCUAAGCGCCAACAGCGAUGGAAAUAAAUAGCAUGUGUACAGACGCCUGGACCCUUGAGAAACUCAGAAUAUUUCUGCAUGCCUUCCUAGCUCCUCUAGCGCUCUAGAAGGUGCCUUGGAAUUUGUGUCGCUGAGUCAGCAAGCCUUUCAGAUUUGCCCGGUUUUUGUUGUUUGUGGUUUGUAUCAAGAUGGGAACUCAAACAAGUCAUUCCUCCUAAGGAGCUGGUGUCUUCAUCCAGAAGGGACAGUUUGUGCCAGCUCUCCAGAGAGAAAAG
RNAcentral lists this small RNA (319 nucleotides) under Pan troglodytes (chimpanzee). Its description in RNAcentral is "processed transcript". The record is from RNAcentral. Lineage: Eukaryota; Metazoa; Chordata; Mammalia; Primates; Hominidae.